This 124-nucleotide ribosomal RNA is filed under the name uncultured bacterium. Its description in RNAcentral is "partial 16S ribosomal RNA". The record is from RNAcentral.
CCGGGGCUUCUUCUGCAGGUACCGUCAUUAUCUUCCCUGCUGAGAGAACUUUACAACCCUAAGGCCUUCAUCGUUCACGCGGCAUGGCUGGAUCAGGGUUGCCCCCAUUGUCCAAGAUUCCCCA